UUGAGUCACCGGUUGGUUUAACGAGACCGGGAUUGAUUCGUCAUGCCGUUAUCGUCUGUUUCAAUGGGCGCGUUCGAAUUGUUUUGAAAGCUCGGAGCCGGAGAUAAAUUUGAUCAAGGGGUUUAAAAAGGAUGCCGAAAGAUUUAAGACAUGGAAGAAUAGUGUCGCCUUAAUCUGGACAACCUGGUCUCUGUUAACUUUGGACACAGGAACUUAGCAGUAGAGAUGGUUGAACAGGAGCUGCUGUUUGAUGGAAACAGAGAACGAAAACCUACCGGCCAUGYCGGAUAUUAUCAACAAGGAACAUGGAGAAGGAAAGAAGAGAACAGACAAACUGCCUGAGAGGACAGAUAGAAACAGGUAGACAGACGGAUGGACGGAUGUGUGUAUGACAUCUGUCCUGUAUUCUGUUACUGGUUGUUUUCAGAUGUGUUUCAUAUAAUAAAUAACAAUUGAUUGGA
Molecule: non-coding RNA, 461 nt
Organism: Salvelinus sp. IW2-2015
Lineage: Eukaryota; Metazoa; Chordata; Actinopteri; Salmoniformes; Salmonidae
Source: RefSeq, a predicted model, not a curated record